GGAUGCCCAAUUAAAUUUGCACUUCAGAUCAACAAUAAAUUUUUUUUAGUAUAAGUAUAACCCAUGCAAUAUUUGGGACAUACGUAUACUAAAAUAUUUUCUUUACCGGAAAUUAUAAUUUAACUGG
RNAcentral lists this microRNA precursor (127 nucleotides) under Tursiops truncatus (common bottlenose dolphin). RNAcentral's name for it is "miRNA (ENSTTRG00000024711.1)". The stretch from base 43 to 94 matches the Rfam family "mir-1302 microRNA precursor family". The record is from RNAcentral. Lineage: Eukaryota; Metazoa; Chordata; Mammalia; Artiodactyla; Delphinidae.